UUAAACGCGAUGAAGAGAAGAGUAAAUAACGUCAAUUCUUUACAGAGAGCUCCGGAUGCUGAAAAGGAGUAAGAAUGUCUUAUUGAAACAAGCCUCUGAGCAGCACAUCGGAACGUAUCGUGAUGGUGUGACAGAUACUCCUGUUAUAGAGCUAGGGUAUAAGCUGAUUGCCGUACCUGAAAAGGUUAAUAUGGUGACAUAUUAAUAAACUGGGGUGGUACCACGAACUUUUAAUCUCGUCCCCAAG
Molecule: non-coding RNA, 247 nt
Filed under: Anaerobacillus sp.
Lineage: Bacteria; Bacillati; Bacillota; Bacilli; Caryophanales; Bacillaceae
Description: T-box sequence
Rfam family: T-box leader
About the family: Uncharged tRNA acts as the effector for transcription antitermination of genes in the T-box leader family. T-boxes are found upstream of many aminoacyl-tRNA synthetase genes and some amino acid biosynthetic genes usually in Gram-positive bacteria.
Source: RNAcentral